This 114-nucleotide ribosomal RNA is filed under the name Caerostris darwini. Lineage: Eukaryota; Metazoa; Arthropoda; Arachnida; Araneae; Araneidae. The record is from RNAcentral.
AACGGCCAUACCAUGCUGAAUAUACCGGUUCUCGUUAGAUCACCGAAGUCAAGCAUCAUUGGGCGCGGUUAGUACUUGGGUGGGUGACCACCACCUGGGAACACCGCUUGCCGU